Molecule: non-coding RNA, 221 nt
Organism: Pelobates cultripes (western spadefoot toad)
Lineage: Eukaryota; Metazoa; Chordata; Amphibia; Anura; Pelobatidae
Source: the annotation of a GenBank genome assembly
CUCAUUUUGAAUGGGUUGGGGUUGAUAACAAGUCAAAUACAUUUAAUGCUUUAUGAUUUCCGUCAAAUUAAAUAUAAAAAGUAGAACUUGUAUUUAUGUGUUUUAUUACCCCUUCUACAUUAUAUAUUUAAUGCGCCCCAUUUACCAUAUAAUGCCAACAUAAUUUGAUUCAUGAUGACUAUAUCCACCUUCUAGAAUGUUAAAGGGACACUAUAGGCACC